GAUCAUUAUCAAAACAGCGGACUUCGGUCCUUGCUGCACCCUUGUCUUUUGCGUACCGUAUGUUUCCUCGGCGGGCUUGCCUGCCGGUUGGACAAUAUCAAACCUUUUUGUAGUUGCAAUCAGCGUCAGAAAACAAAUAAUAAUUACAACUUUCAACAACGGAUCUCUUGGUUCUGGCAUCGAUGAAGAACGCAGCGAAAUGCGAAAAGUAGUGUGAAUUGCAGAAUUCAGUGAAUCAUCGAAUCUUUGAACGCACAUUGCGCCCCUUGGUAUUCCAUGGGGCAUGCCUGUUCGAGCGUCAUUUUGUACCCUCAAGCACUGCUUGGUGUUGGGCGUUUGUCCUGCAAAGGACUCGCCUGAAAGCGAUUGGCGGCCAACGUACUGGUGGUAGAGCGCAGCACAAUUUGCGUCUCUCCCUUCUACGUCGGCGUCCAUGAAGCCUUAUUCAAACGUUUGACCUCGGAUCAGGUAGGGAUACCCGCUGAACUUAAGCAUAUCAUAAGACGAAGGAAAUGC
RNAcentral lists this ribosomal RNA (516 nucleotides) under Leptosphaeria sp. F101. RNAcentral describes it as "eukaryotic LSU rRNA". The stretch from base 148 to 301 matches the Rfam family "5.8S ribosomal RNA". Lineage: Eukaryota; Fungi; Ascomycota; Dothideomycetes; Pleosporales; Leptosphaeriaceae. The record is from RNAcentral.